This 718-nucleotide ribosomal RNA is filed under the name uncultured Citrobacter sp. RNAcentral's name for it is "bacterial SSU rRNA". It matches the Rfam family "Bacterial small subunit ribosomal RNA", at positions 10 to 711 of the family's 1533-position model. The record is from RNAcentral. Lineage: Bacteria; Pseudomonadati; Pseudomonadota; Gammaproteobacteria; Enterobacterales; Enterobacteriaceae.
AGUUUUGAUCUGGCUCAGGAUGAACGCUGGCGGCGUGCCUAUACAUGCAAGUCGAGCGAAUGGAUUAAGAGCUUUGCUCUUAUGAAGUUAGCGGCGGACGGGUGAGUAACACGUGGGUAACCUGCCCAUAAGACUGGGAUAACUCCGGGAAACCGGGGCUAAUCCGGAUAACAUUUUGAACCGCAUGGUUCGAAAUUGAAAGGCGGCUUCGGCUGUCACUUAUGGAUGGACCCGCGUCGCAUUAGCUAGUUGGUGAGGUAACGGCUCACCAAGGCAACGAUGCGUACCGACCUGAGAGGGUGAUCGGCCACACUGGGACUGAGACACGGCCCAGACUCCUACGGGAGGCAGCAGUAGGGAAUCUUCCGCAAUGGACGAAAGUCUGACGGAGCAACGCCGCGUGAGUGAUGAAGGCUUUCGGGUCGUAAAACUCUGUUGUUAGGGAAGAACAAGUGCUAGUUGAAUAAGCUGGCACCUUGACGGUACCUAACCAGAAAGCCACGGCUAACUACGUGCCAGCAGCCGCGGUAAUACGUAGGUGGCAAGCGUUAUCCGGAAUUAUUGGGCGUAAAGCGCGCGCAGGUGGUUUCUUAAGUCUGAUGUGAAAGCCCACGGCUCAACCGUGGAGGGUCAUUGGAAACUGGGAGACUUGAGUGCAGAAGAGGAAAGUGGAAUUCCAGUGUAGCGGUGAAAUGCGUAGAGAUAUGGAGGAACACCA